Molecule: ribosomal RNA, 563 nt
Filed under: uncultured beta proteobacterium
Lineage: Bacteria; Pseudomonadati; Pseudomonadota; Betaproteobacteria
Description: bacterial SSU rRNA
Rfam family: Bacterial small subunit ribosomal RNA
Source: RNAcentral
UUCCUACGGGAGGCAGCAGUGGGGAAUUUUGGACAAUGGGCGCAAGCCUGAUCCAGCAAUGCCGCGUGAGUGAAGAAGGCCUUCGGGUUGUAAAGCUCUUUUGUCAGGGAAGAAACGGUAGAGGCUAAUAUCCUUUGCUAAUGACGGUACCUGAAGAAUAAGCACCGGCUAACUACGUGCCAGCAGCCGCGGUAAUACGUAGGGUGCAAGCGUUAAUCGGAAUUACUGGGCGUAAAGCGUGCGCAGGCGGUUUUGUAAGUCUGACGUGAAAUCCCCGGGCUCAACCUGGGAAUUGCGUUGGAGACUGCAAGGCUAGAAUCUGGCAGAGGGGGGUAGAAUUCCACGUGUAGCAGUGAAAUGCGUAGAGAUGUGGAGGAACACCGAUGGCGAAGGCAGCCCCCUGGGUCAAGAUUGACGCUCAUGCACGAAAGCGUGGGGAGCAAACAGGAUUAGAUACCCUGGUAGUCCACGCCCUAAACGAUGUCUACUAGUUGUCGGGUUUUAAUUAACUUGGUAACGCAGCUAACGCGUGAAGUAGACCGCCUGGGAGAACGCCAUUGGCG